This 468-nucleotide ribosomal RNA is filed under the name uncultured bacterium. RNAcentral's name for it is "partial 16S ribosomal RNA". It matches the Rfam family "Bacterial small subunit ribosomal RNA", at positions 28 to 507 of the family's 1533-position model. The record is from RNAcentral.
GACGAACGCUGGCGGCGUGCUUAACACAUGCAAGUCGAACGGAAAGGCCCUGCUUUUGUGGGGUGCUCGAGUGGCGAACGGGUGAGUAACACGUGAGUAACCUGCCCUUGACUUUGGGAUAACUUCAGGAAACUGGGGCUAAUACCGGAUAGGAGCUCCUGCUGCAUGGGGGGGGUUGGAAAGUUUCGGCGGUUGGGGCUGGACUGGCGGCUUAUCGGCUUGUUGGGGGGGUAGUGGCUUACCAAGGGUUAGAGGGAUAGCCGGCCUGAGAGGGGGACCGGGGUCAAUAGGACUAAGAGACGCAGCAGUCGCGAAUGGUAGGCAACAGUCGGGAGUAUUGCACAGUGGGGGGAAGUCUGUGGCGGCGGCGCUCGGUGCGGGAUGCCGUGCUUCGGGGUGUGAACAACUUUCGCCUGAGACGAAGCGGGCGUGACGGUACUGGAUAAAGAAGCACCGGCUAACUACGUG